This is a long non-coding RNA of Lineus longissimus, 2668 nucleotides long. RefSeq lists it as uncharacterized. The record is from RefSeq and is a predicted model, not a curated record. The transcript has 3 exons. NCBI's taxonomy places the organism in Eukaryota, Metazoa, Nemertea, Pilidiophora, Heteronemertea, Lineidae.
ACCAAAUACAACUGACGGACGAACAACCACGGUGGCACCGACUAAUGGCACUAUAGAAACCUGGCAAGAAUUUGCGAAAUGCAUGAUAGCGUGCCUGGGGAAGGACAUAAAGAACGUACUGAAAUGGGCAAAAACGUGCAAAUUCAAUGUGACCUGCUGGAUAGGCAAAGUCGGACCGGCCACCACUAAAUCUAUUCUUAAAUGCAUUGUUGACAUAAUACCAUUUCCAGGCAAUGUUUUGACAACCCCUCAACCAAAUACUACUGACGAACUAACAACAACAGUGGCACCGACGACUACUCCAAUACCGACUCCGCAGGAGUUUGUGCAAUGCAUGACAACAUGCCUUAAGAAAGACCUGAAUGAUGUUGAUGAGUGGGCGAAAGAAUGCAGCUUUAAACCUACAUGUUGGGUGAGGAAAGUCAGGCCGAUGGCAAGCAAAUGUUUCUUAUAUUGCGUUAUUUCUGCAACACCGUUUCCAGGCGGAGUGGCGACAACACCUCGACUGACUACUUCUCAUCAAGUUAUAACAACGACUGCCCCGACAACCAUUCCGAUGAUUAACGUACAUGAGUUUGUGAUAUGUAUGGAAAUGUGUUUGAAGAAUAACAUUGAUAAGGCUGCUGAUUUGGCGAAAGAAUGCAAAUAUGAAGUGUCAUGUUGGAGAGAGAAGGUCGGAAAUACAGCAUGUAGAUGCCUCCUUCAAUGCAUGCUUUCUGCAAUUCCAUAGCCCGGUAAUUGAUUAUUAAUCUUUCUUUGCAUAUACAGCGGCAAUAUUCUAACCUUCCCGAUCGACGUGUCACUAUAUCUUAUAAAUCUAGACUAGCAAUUACCCAUGCUCCGCACGGAGUUAGGGCAUGGACACAUGGCGUAUUCGGUUAAGCUGCUUAAUAUUUGUGGGAAGAGGAGGGGGGGGGGGAGCGUGUCGGAUUUGCCGGGGGGAAUAACCAACAGAGAGAAACAUUUGUAUUUCAUAUUGAUUAUGAUCCGGUCAUUAUUUGCCGUUAUUUGCCGCCUCAAAAUAAGCAAUAUAAACGGGUUAUUUACAUACUAAUUAGAUACUUUUACUUGAAACAAGUUCUCUCCAAAAUUCAACCGAAAGUUUAAAACCGUGUUCCAUAAAGAGGCCUUCUGGUAUUUUCUAGUAUCAGGCGACAUUCCGAUGGGAUUUGAAUGAUCAUGGUGGGACUAUGUGGUUGUCGUUAUGUAUUGUUGUCUGUUUUAAUCGGAGUUGUAAUAAUAGCUUGGCGUAUAUAUUGGCAUUUGGUCGAGGCUCAGAAUCUAUAUCAUCUAUUAUCUAUUAUAUCUAUAUUAUUGUUAUACUAUUGCCGUAUUUACUGCUGGUUGUGAGAUGUACUAUUUUAAUUACUGCGGUGUUUUAUUAGUAAGAUGCAAUGUAAUGUUUUAUCCGGUCUCUGCAGUAAGCAGUUGGUAUUCUUUUAUUAUCUGUACAUGUACUGUAUUCUUCUGUGAAGGAGGUCAAUAAAGUAUUAUUAUUAUUAUUAUAACAUUAAAUUUUUAAACAACAUGCGGCGCGCGCGUGUCAUUUUGGCCUGGCGAUGUCUCAUUGCUAUUGCUAAGAAAAAUUCACUUCGAAUAUUGACUUGUUGCACAAAUUUGCACUUCUUACGAAAAUUCCAAUGCACAAUGAUAGUCGAUAUUCCACUUAGACCUGACCAUAUAUUCACUGGUGUCCGUUGUCGCUCUUGACUUAAAAGAUUCCGGGAUUUUCAUUAUGGGGAGACUUAGGCGAGGUCCACAAUAAUCUAUGUACAGCAAGACUGAUCCAAUAAAGAAGCAUAUAGACGAAUCCUGUUGUCCAGCUGUUUGAAGAUCAACCAAACUAGAAGGAUGUUGGUUUCACCAGUGAAACAUCCUUUUAGUUUGGUUGAUCUUUAAACAGCUGGACAACAUGAUUCGUCUAUAUGCUUCUUUAUUGGAUCAGUCUUGCUGUACAUAGAUUAUUGUAGACCUCGCCUACUACGUUUUCAUUUCGCUACUAGUAGAAAUCAGGAAAGUUUAUUCAAAGGUCAUCGCCAAAAAAAAAGGGUUGCGAAAUAAUCUCGGGUUGGUAGUGGUAUUUUCUUAGAAUUUCGUCUAUGUUUUAUCCUUUGUAGUCGAAUCAAAACGAUAACAUGAUCUUGUUGUUCCUAUUAUGUGAAGACACUUACAUCGCACACGUUCAUUGUUAAAGUAUUGCAGUACAGAUGUACAUUAAUAUCUUUAAACGUAAGGCGCAAAAUGCCUUCAACAGCUUUUUUGGCAAAGCAAUAUCAACUUACUAAUAAGUUUCUGUCGCAAAAAAUGUUAGGUGACUGAAAACCAAUGUCAACUUACUAAUAAGUUUCUGUCGCAAAAAAUGUUAAGUGACUGAAAACCAAUGUCAACUUACUAAUAAGUUUCUGUCGCAAAAAAUGUUAAGUGACUGAAAACCAAUGUCAACUUACUAAUAAGUUUCUGUCGCAAAAAAUGUUAAGUGACUGAAAACCAAUGUCAACUUACUAAUAAGUUUCUGUCGCAAAAAAUGUUAAGUGACUGAAAACCAAUGUCAACUUAGCGACUUCUCUAUGAUGCUAUGUUACAAUGCAGUGUUUCAUUGGAUAUUUUAUGGUAUUAUAGGAAUUUAUUCUGUUUUAUGCUUCUCAAUAAAUCGAUUAAAAGAGGCCGA